This 100-nucleotide transfer RNA is filed under the name Saccharomyces cerevisiae R008. RNAcentral describes it as "tRNA-Tyr". It matches the Rfam family "tRNA". From Rfam's summary of the family: Transfer RNA (tRNA) molecules are approximately 80 nucleotides in length. Their secondary structure includes four short double-helical elements and three loops (D, anti-codon, and T loops). The record is from RNAcentral. Lineage: Eukaryota; Fungi; Ascomycota; Saccharomycetes; Saccharomycetales; Saccharomycetaceae.
CUCUCGGUAGCCAAGUUGGUUUAAGGCGCAAGACUGUAAUUUAUCACUACGAAAUCUUGAGAUCGGGCGUUCGACUCGGUUCGACUCGCCCCCGGGAGAU